Molecule: ribosomal RNA, 559 nt
Filed under: uncultured bacterium
Lineage: Bacteria
Description: bacterial SSU rRNA
Rfam family: Bacterial small subunit ribosomal RNA
Source: RNAcentral
AGGAAUCUGCCUGGUAGUGGGGGACAACGUUUCGAAAGGAACGCUAAUACCGCAUACGUCCUACGGGAGAAAGCAGGGGACCUUCGGGCCUUGCGCUAUCAGAUGAGCCUAGGUCGGAUUAGCUAGUUGGUGAGGUAAUGGCUCACCAAGGCUACGAUCCGUAACUGGUCUGAGAGGAUGAUCAGUCACACUGGAACUGAGACACGGUCCAGACUCCUACGGGAGGCAGCAGUGGGGAAUAUUGGACAAUGGGCGAAAGCCUGAUCCAGCCAUGCCGCGUGUGUGAAGAAGGUCUUCGGAUUGUAAAGCACUUUAAGUUGGGAGGAAGGGUUGUAGAUUAAUACUCUGCAAUUUUGACGUUACCGACAGAAUAAGCACCGGCUAACUCUGUGCCAGCAGCCGCGGUAAUACAGAGGGUGCAAGCGUUAAUCGGAAUUACUGGGCGUAAAGCGCGCGUAGGUGGUUCGUUAAGUUGGAUGUGAAAUCCCCGGGCUCAACCUGGGAACUGCAUCCAAAACUGGCGAGCUAGAGUAUGGUAGAGGGUGGUGGAAUUUCCUGU